RNAcentral lists this ribosomal RNA (336 nucleotides) under uncultured Ascomycota. RNAcentral describes it as "eukaryotic LSU rRNA". The stretch from base 1 to 125 matches the Rfam family "5.8S ribosomal RNA", at positions 30 to 154 of the family's 154-position model. The record is from RNAcentral. Lineage: Eukaryota; Fungi; Ascomycota.
GCAUCGAUGAANAACGCAGCGAAAUGCGAUAAGUAAUGUGAAUUGCAGAACUCAGUGAAUCAUCGAAUCUUUGAACGCACAUUGCGCCCCUUGGUAUUCCGGGGGGCAUGCCUCUUCCAGCGUCAUUUCACCCCUCAAGCUCUGCUUGGUUUUGGGCCGCGCCGGCAACGGCGGNCCUUNAAAAUAGUNGCGACGCCAUCGUGCUCUCANCGCAGUAAUUCUUCUCGCUGUUGGGUCCCGGUGGUCGUCCGCCAGCAACCCCCAACUUUCUUAAGUUUGACCUGGGGAUGAGGUANGGAUACCCGCUGAACUUAAGCAUAUCAAUAAGGCGGAGGA